RNAcentral lists this ribosomal RNA (750 nucleotides) under Monstrotyphis imperialis. RNAcentral's name for it is "partial 16S ribosomal RNA". The stretch from base 1 to 582 matches the Rfam family "Bacterial large subunit ribosomal RNA", at positions 1817 to 2925 of the family's 2925-position model. Lineage: Eukaryota; Metazoa; Mollusca; Gastropoda; Neogastropoda; Muricidae. The record is from RNAcentral.
GGCUCCUUGUAAAGCUGCAAAUAAGGAGUCGGACCUGCCCAGUGAAUUAUUUCAACGGCCGCGGUACUUUGACCGUGCAAAGGUAGCAUAAUCAUUUGCCUUAUAAUUGAAGGCUUGUAUGAAUGGUUUGACAAGAAUAUAACUGUCUCUUUAUAAUUAAAUAAAAUUUUAUUUACAGGUGAAAAAGCCUGUAUUUUAUUGAAAGACAAGAAGACCCUAUCGAGCUUUAAAAAAAUUAAUAAACCACAACCUUUAUACUUUGUAGAAAAUUAGUUAUUAAAAAUUUUGGUUGGGGCGACUAAGGAACAAACAAAGCUUCCUUUAUUUCUUAAGACAAUCAAGUAAGGACCCAAAAACUUUGAUUAGAGAAUUUAGUUACCGUAGGGAUAACAGCAUUAUCUUUUUUAAGAGCUCUAAUCGAAAAAAAGGUUUGUGACCUCGAUGUUGGACCAGAAUAUCCUGAAGAUGUAGCCGUCUUCAAGGGUUGGUCUGUUCGACCAUUAAAAUUCUACGUGAUCUGAGUUCAGACCGGCGUAAGCCAGGUCAGUUUCUAUCUUCAAUUUGUAGAAUAAAUUUAGUACGAAAGGACCAGUUUAUUGCAAAAAAUUGUUCCAUCUGAUGGCGUAUAAAAGACAUUAAAUAUAUAAGAUAAUCAAAUUAGCAAAAAUUAAUGCAAUUGAUUUAGGAUCAAUAGACAUAGGUGAAAUUCCUUUAUUUGAUAUUUUUAAAUAAAUAAAGAUGGCAGACAAA